AUUAGUCCCGUAUCUCAUAGGCUCAAACAUUGAACGAAGCAGUAAAGUAAUCAAGCAUAAAGAUUACAUAUAAAAUAAACUGAAAUGAAUUAUUUCGUGCCAAUUCGGCAAUAUUUAAUGGAAGAAAGAAACUGGAUAACAAAGACAUAAAAUUUAGAAAAACAGCGAUGCUAGUUUCGUACACCACAUGGGACGAGGGCUAGCUACCGAGCGCUCGGUGGUCCGUGGUCGCGCUGCUUAGUUGUGCUGUUUUUCAAAAGGAACGUGCAGUCAUGGCGUGCGUAAAUUAGACUUUGUCGAAUUAGUGUUCGGCAGCUUCAUCUGUGGAAGACUUUGACUUCAGGCAAACGCCGGACAAGUGUUUACGCCUGUGACAAGACGGAUAUAUGGACCCAUUGUGUGCGGAAUGCUGCCUGCCAAUUGUCAGCGAUGCAGCCGUUUGAAGCAACGCUGUUUCAUUGGUCACGGGUGAAUGGCACAGAUUCAUCAGCUGCGCAGCCCGAAACUUCACCAGUAUAUUGGUUGAGAAAAUACAGCACUGCAUGAAAGCCGAGCGGAGGAAAUCUUUGCACUGAAUGUGCACCCAUGCAAAAGGAACCUCGGCGAAGACCCCAAACCCGCACUGACCCCGGAGAAGGUCAACGUCGUUGGAGCGACCCUUGCCCAUUGGGCCCGCUCAACAAAAAAUGAAGCGCUGGCGGCAGCAACCAACUUGACCAAUGUGCUGUCUGAAAAAAUCCAGGAUAGUGUGAAGGCUGAGCGCCGAAGAGAAAGGGAGGUUGUGCGCAGUCCGGCAUUAUGAACAUUU
This is a long non-coding RNA of Rhipicephalus sanguineus (brown dog tick), 808 nucleotides long. RefSeq lists it as uncharacterized. Lineage: Eukaryota; Metazoa; Arthropoda; Arachnida; Ixodida; Ixodidae. The transcript has 3 exons. The record is from RefSeq and is a predicted model, not a curated record.